This 99-nucleotide small nuclear RNA is filed under the name Ailuropoda melanoleuca (giant panda). The record is from RNAcentral. Lineage: Eukaryota; Metazoa; Chordata; Mammalia; Carnivora; Ursidae.
UUGUGCUCGACAUAAAUUAAAAUUGGAACAACACAGAAAAGAUUAGCCUGGUCCCCCUACAAGGAUGACAUGCAAAUUCCCAAAGCGUUCCAUAUUUUU